This is a long non-coding RNA of Hyalella azteca, 1021 nucleotides long. RefSeq lists it as uncharacterized. The record is from RefSeq and is a predicted model, not a curated record. The transcript has 2 exons. NCBI's taxonomy places the organism in Eukaryota, Metazoa, Arthropoda, Malacostraca, Amphipoda, Hyalellidae.
GCCGGCCAACGCAAUUGAAAAAUAAAACUAAAUCGCGGAAUUUGUCCCGAAGAAAAAACCGUCUGGCAAUACUUUUUCAUAAUAGUACAAAAAAUGAUAUAAUAGUACAAUAUGAUGCAAUCGGAGUCAACGUGAUAUAUUAGCACUUAACUUACCCCUGAGAAAAAUCUAUAGUUUAACUCAUGAGGUUGGUAUGAAAAGGGCUAUGAAAUCUUCAUGUAUAUUAAUCUGUUUUAUCGAGAGAAUGUUGCUUCAGAAUUUUCAUUUUGGUCAUUUGCUCAACUUAACGUUUUCAAAGAUCAUUAUUUUUUGCCGUCGGCAGAUAAUAUGAAUGACUUUAUCGAAAUGAUGCGAGAGUAUAAAUAUAUACAACUAUUGCGAAGUCCAUAUGUUUUACUGUAUGGAGACAGUGGAGAUAAUCAAAGAACUAUACUAUCUAAUUGUGUUUCAUAUCAUGGUAAUUUAAGCCUUAUGAUGCCGAAAAGCUCCAGAAAUGCUCGCCUUGGUCCCUGAUGAUUAUAAAGAGAAUUGUUUACACUUCUAACCUUUAUAAACUUUUCCGAAAUAAUAAAUUUGGGCGUGGAGAAGAAAAAAGCCACCUCAUUACAGCUUACUAUUAAAAUACAGAGAAUUCAAGCCUGGCGCAGAAAGAAGGCAGUCAACAAUCUUCAAGGAAAGGGGAUAAUGAGACGUCAAUUCUGGAUUAAAAUUUCGAUUUUCAAGAAAGAUCAAAACCCUGGUAGAUGUAAUAAUAGUUUACGAAGCAAUGAUCGGUUACCUAGCUAAAAGUAGUGCUUCGAAAAUUAUUGUGAUUUUAUAUGUAUAGACCGGAAUAUAUGGUGAGAAGCGUUUCCCGUUGCCAAUUUUCGAAAGGCCUUUUUAUAUUUCUCUAGGCCACAGAUCUGCAACUUGACUCAAGUGAUAGGAUGUGUGAAGUGAUGUUAUCAGGUUAGGUAAGGAGGCCACGUGAUAGGAUAAAUGUUGUAGUGAAUGUUCGUACAACAAUGAUUUUUCUCCAUUU